RNAcentral lists this ribosomal RNA (616 nucleotides) under uncultured archaeon. Its description in RNAcentral is "bacterial SSU rRNA". It matches the Rfam family "Archaeal small subunit ribosomal RNA", at positions 43 to 661 of the family's 1478-position model. The record is from RNAcentral.
AUUAAGCCAUGCGAGUUAAUGUUCUUCGUGAACAUAGCAGACUGCUCAGUAACACGUGGAUAACCUGCCCUUAGGACUGGCAUAACCCCGGGAAACUGGGGAUAAUGCCGGAUAGAUCAUAAAUGCUGGAAUGCUUUAUGAUUGAAAGGUUUCGACCGCCUUAGAAUGGAUCUGCGGCCUAUCAGGUUGUAGUGGGUGUAAUGUACCUACUAGCCCACGACGGGUACGGGUUGUGGAAGCAAGAGCCCGGAGAUGGAUUCUGAGACAUGAAUCCAGGCCCUACGGGGCGCAGCAGGCGCGAAAACUUUACAAUGCGGGAAACCGUGAUAAGGGAACACUGAGUGCUAGCAUUUAUGUUAGCUGUCCACAUGUGUAAAUAGCAUGUGAUAGCAAGGGCUGGGCAAGACCGGUGCCAGCCGCCGCGGUAACACCGGCAGCCCGAGUGGUGAUCACUAUUAUUGGGUCUAAAGGGUCCGUAGCCGGUUUAAUCAGUCUUCUGGGAAAUCUAAUCGCUUAACUAUUAGGCUUCCAGGGGAUACUGUUAGACUUGGGACCGGGAGAGGUACGAGGUACUGCAGGGGUAGGAGUGAAAUCUUGUAAUCCCUGUGAGACCACC